This is a long non-coding RNA of Bos taurus (domestic cattle), 1807 nucleotides long. NCBI's taxonomy places the organism in Eukaryota, Metazoa, Chordata, Mammalia, Artiodactyla, Bovidae. The record is from Ensembl.
CGCGCCGGCAGUGGCGGCGACCGCGGCGGCGCUCUAGACGCGGCAUGUCUGCGUCUCUACUGCUCUGGGAGGAGGAAGAGAAGGAGGAAGAGGAGGAGGAGGAGGGGGAGGAAGAGGAGAAAGGCGCAGGGGUGGGAGCUGUUGCCGAAGCUGCCACAGCAAAAGUUCUCCCCCCUCCCCCCUUCCCCUCCUCUCAAGGCCCCUAGAAAGGUUGAAGCUGCCGCCGCCUGCAGUCGGUGACCGCGCGACUCGGCGCCCGCCCGCGAUUCACCUUUGCUGGGUAGAUUUUGAGGUCCCUUUGGAACAGCUUGUGGGGGGAUGGUGUCAGUUCUCAGGUAUAUCUAGUAAAACUGUUAGUCUUCUUUUUUGAGCCUGUAUACCCCACAAAUGACUUGGUCUCUGUGAGUGAAGAGAAUGAGUCAACUUGGCUCUGUUAUCCUGGCAUUUUCCUGAAUGCUUUUCUCAGAGCUGCUUUCUGAAUUACAGAAUAGAAUAGACAAGAAAAUUGAGGGCAUAUAUCCAGUAGACACAUGUUUGUUGAAUAAAUGAAUGAAUGAGAGUGUCUGAGAUAAUUUAUCUGAACUGUCUAUACGUUUUGUUUGUUUCAAUUUAUUCAUAACCUGGCUUUUUCUACAAGGAUUUAAUGAGGCUGACGGAAAUAUGUUCACCAUAAAUGAAUUGAAAUAAUUGAAGUCUAGUUGAUGAGAAAAGGAAAGAAUGUUAAGACUUAUCAUUAUGGAUGUUGAAGAACUAGGAAUAAAGUGGAAUAUAAGCAGAUGGAGAAGAAAUGGUGUUGUUUGAUGGAAAAUAUGAUUCUGAAAGAAAAAAAGUUAUUGAUAUGUGACAGGUUAUUGUUAAAGGGAAGCAAGAGAAGAUUGAAAGUAGAGGAUUAUUUGAAAUGGCUGAUUUUGAGAGGAAGAUGAUAAGACUUUGAAGGAUGAGAGUUUCAAAAGUUUGAAAUGUAGUGGAAAUUAUGAUGAUGAUUUAUAACAAGUUUCAGAAAGUAAAGGGGUGAGUUUUCUUUAGUCAACAGAUAAUGCACAUUUGUUAUGUGCAAAAGCAUUGUUAGAUGCACUCAAGGAUAAAUCCUUUGGGACUUAAUUCUAAUAGAGGGGCUAGACUUGAGCACAGAAGACUACACAGUAUGAUCACAAAUAUAUUAGGAGAAAAGUACCAAAUGUUACUAAAGUUAAAAGGUGGAAAAAACAUUUGAUUAAGGGAAAGCCUGGGACGGCAUUUAGUAGCAUGGAAGUGACAUUUUAGCUAGUCUUUGAAGGGAUAGGGAUUCCAACUGGCAGAAAUUACUCGAAAGAACAUUCCAACCUGAGGAAGCAAAAAUGUGGUGGUGAGAAGUCAAGGAGAUGUGGAGACGAGUGUGUUGGUUUUAGUUUUUUUUUUAAUUUUACUAUGGUCCACAGUAAGGAAAAUGUUUCACAUCUUCACCUAAUAUAUGCAUGUAUGAAUGUGUGUAUGUUUAGAACACAAAGUUUCAAUAACAGUAACUGUCCUUACCACGGUGGAGGCACUGUAUGUUUUCUCUUGUUCUCUUUGACUAAAAAGAAAAAAAGGAUGGCUGUCACUUACUAAACUGAUUUCAUGAUGAAUUAAUUGAUCAUAACCUGUAAUUUGUAAUAAAGAGUUAAUGAGUAUGGUAUAAGAUAGGAAAGCUCAGUUGGGGUUGAGUUGAAAAUGGAUGGCCUUGAAAGCUAAGCUAAGUAGUUUGUAUUUGAUAUGACAUAGUGCUGUGCUUGGUAAGCAAGCAAGCUAGGUUUUAGUCUUGGCCCUUCUGUUUACCUCCACGAUGGUU